RNAcentral lists this unclassified non-coding RNA (267 nucleotides) under Hevea brasiliensis (rubber tree). Lineage: Eukaryota; Viridiplantae; Streptophyta; Magnoliopsida; Malpighiales; Euphorbiaceae. The record is from RNAcentral.
GUAGAUCGCGCCAAACGAGAUCAUCGCCACCCAGCCGAGCGCCCCGGCAUGGACAUGGCCGACGGUCCAGUCAGUGUAGUGUGAGAGCGAGUUGACGGAGCGGAUCGCCAGAAACGAUCCCUCGAAGGUUGUCAGUCCGUAGAACACCGCUGCCACCAUCAUGAAACGCAGCGUGGCGUCGUCGCGAACCUUGUCCCAGGCGCCGUUCAGUGUCAGCAGCGCGUUGGCCGCAGACGCCCAUGACGGUAUGAGUAACAUCAGCGAGAA